AGAACGAACGCUGGCGGCAGGCUUAACACAUGCAAGUCGAACGAGAUCUUCGGAUCUAGUGGCGGACGGGUGAGUAACGCGUGGGAACGUGCCCUUUGCUACGGAAUAGUCCCUGGAAACGGGGUUUAAUACCGUAUAUUCUCUACGGAGGAAAGAUUUAUCGGCAAAGGAUCGGCCCGCGUUGGAUUAGGUAGUUGGUGGGGUAAUGGCCUACCAAGCCCGCGAUCCAUAGCUGGUUUGAGAGGAUGAUCAGCCACACUGGGACUGAGACACGGCCCAGACUCCUACGGGAGGCAGCAGUGGGGAAUCUUAGACAAUGGGGGAAACCCUGAUCUAGCCAUGCCGCGUGAGCGAUGAAGGCCUUAGGGUUGUAAAGCUCUUUCGCUGGGGAAGAUAAUGACGGUACCCAGUAAAGAAGCCCCGGCUAACUCCGUGCCAGCCGCCGCGGU
This 449-nucleotide ribosomal RNA is filed under the name uncultured bacterium. RNAcentral describes it as "bacterial SSU rRNA". It matches the Rfam family "Bacterial small subunit ribosomal RNA", at positions 26 to 521 of the family's 1533-position model. The record is from RNAcentral.